Long non-coding RNA from Homo sapiens (human), 1953 nucleotides. The record is from Ensembl. NCBI's taxonomy places the organism in Eukaryota, Metazoa, Chordata, Mammalia, Primates, Hominidae.
GAUAUUUCUUUGCAUCUAUCACCUAGGGGAUGUGUCUCUCCUCUGCCUGCACCCUGCCUUCAGGUUAUUUGCCUCUUCUCUUCUGCCUGGGCACUGCCAAAGAAAAAAGGAGAUUGUAGCAAUUCACUGGACCCAGAACCUAGUUGAGGGAGCAUUGUGACAUGCCACUGGGCUCAGCACCCAGGUGAUGUUCCUCUCCUGCCUGGUCCCUUCCAUCAGGGAAUAUUGUACAAAUCUCUGGCCAAGCACCCAGUUGAUGUGACUCUCCUGCUCACUACCUACUCACAGGUUACAUGUCCCAUGUCGCAGAAAAUGUUGUAAUGUAUUGCUGGACCCAGUCACCAGAUGAUGUGUCUCUCCUGCCAAGGCUGUGCCCACAGAGAGCAUUUUGACAUAUCACUGGGCUCAGCACCCAGGUGAAAUGACUCUGCUGCCUGUACUCUGCUUUAAGAGGGGAUUGUAAUAUAUCUGUGGCUGAGCACCUAGGUGAGAUGACUUCUGCGUGGUUUCUGACCUCAGGAAAGAUUGUGACAUAUCUUUGCCGAAAACCUACAUGAUGUGAAUCUGCUGCUCACUUCCUACCGACAGGAGGGAUUGAGACAAUUCUGGAAGCCCAGCACCUAGGUGAUGUGACUUUCAUCUUUUGUUUGGACCGUGUGCACAAAAGGAAGAGUGGCUUAUCACUGGACCUCACACACAGGAGGUAUUGUGACAUAUUCCUGGAGCAAGUACCCAGGAGAUGUGACUCUUCUUUUCUGUCUGGGUUCUGCAAAAACAAGUGAUUGUGACAUAUCAUCAAACCCAGCAACUAGACGAUGUGAUUUUUCUUCCCUGCUUGAGCCCUGGAUAUGCUGUGCAUUGUGAUAUAUGGCUGGGUCCAACAUCAAGGAGAGAUUGUGACAUAUCUCUGGAACCAGAACCUUGGUGAUGUGACUCUUCUCUCCUGCUGAAGCCAUGCCCACACAAGGGAAAGUGACUUAUCACUGGGCCCAGCACACAGCGCUAUUCACAGGGAAAAUAGUGACACAUCUGUGGGGUUCUCACCGAAAUGAUGUGACUCUCUUGCCUGGGCUCACCUCUCAAGGGAAUUUUGACAUAUUACUGGACCAAGCACCUAGGCCCUGCAUUUAUUGUGUAUUGUGACAUAUGGCUUGGUCCAACACCUAGGUGGUGUGACUCUCUACUUCUUCCUGUGCCAUGCCAAAGAAGAGGAUUGUGACAUAUCACUGGAUCCAGCACCUAGGAUGCAUAUGCCAGAUUUCCAGGCCCAUCACCUAGAUGAUGAGACUCUCCUCUUCUUUCUGGGACCAAUACACAGUGGGAAUUGUGAUGCAUCGUUUAGCUCAGCAGCUACAUGAUGUGACCCUCUUCUCAUGAGAUUCCUGCCCACUUGGGAGACAUGACCCAAAAAGGGAUUAUGACAUAUCUCUGAGCCCAACACCCAAAUGUUGUGACUCUCCUGCCUGGGCUGUGCCUAGAGAAAAUAUAAUAUGUCACUGGGCCCUGCAUGCAAGUGAUCUGAUUCUCCAGCCUGGGCCUUGCCCACAGGGGAGAUUGAGACAUAUUCCAGGUUAUGCAAAUGGAGGUGGAUUGUGACAUAUCAUAGGGCCAACACAACACACAGUCUACAGGUGGAAUUGGGACUCUCAUGCAUGGAUCCAGUUCAUCAUUGAUACUGUGACUCAGGUGGGAUUUUGACAUAUAACUGCACCCAGCACACAGGUGAGAUUGUGACUCUUGUAUGCUCAUCCUGCCAAAAGUUGAGUGUCACCCUCACACAUGGACAGAGACUUCUGGUAAGGUCUUGAAUCUUGUACAUGGACACAGUCCACAGCUGGAAUGUCAUAUGUAGAUCCAGCCACAGGUGUGAUGUUGACCUAUUUAUAAAGUUAGCUCACAGGCACAUUGAUAACUCUCAUACCUGGAUCCAGCCAAUAAAAUAUAUGUUGACUA